GACGAACGCUGGCGGCGUGCUUAACACAUGCAAGUCGAACAGAAAGGCCCUGCUUUUGUGGGGUGCUCGAGUGGCGAACGGGUGAGUAACACGUGAGUAACCUGCCCUUGACUUUGGGAUAACUUCAGGAAACUGGGGCUAAUACCGGAUAGGAGCUCCUGCUGCAUGGUGGGGGUUGGAAAGUUUCGGCGGUUGGGGAUGGACUCGCGGCUUAUCAGCUUGUUGGUGGGGUAGUGGCUUACCAAGGCUUUGACGGGUAGCCGGCCUGGGAGGGUGACCGGCCACAUUGGGACUGAGGUACGGCACAGACUCCUACGGUAGGCAGCAGUGGGGAAGAUUGCACAAUGGGCGGAAGCCUGAUGCAGCAACGCCGCGUGCGGGAUGACGGCCUUCGGGUUGUAAACCGCUUUCGCCUGUGACGAAGCGUGAGUGACGGUAAUGGGUAAAGAAGCACCGGCUAACUACGUG
This 468-nucleotide ribosomal RNA is filed under the name uncultured bacterium. RNAcentral describes it as "partial 16S ribosomal RNA". It matches the Rfam family "Bacterial small subunit ribosomal RNA", at positions 28 to 507 of the family's 1533-position model. The record is from RNAcentral.